Molecule: long non-coding RNA, 230 nt
Filed under: Mytilus galloprovincialis (Mediterranean mussel)
Lineage: Eukaryota; Metazoa; Mollusca; Bivalvia; Mytilida; Mytilidae
Source: RNAcentral
CAAAUUCAUCUAAAGCCAACUUUGCCUGAGGGAGUUGAAACCUUAGUUUCUUAAUAAUUUAUAAAUUUAUAAACGGACAAUUUUAGUAAAGUUUGUUAAAUCAUGUCAGUACCGAAAUACUGACUACCGAGCUGAUGAUACCCUCGGGGACUGAUAGUCCACCAGCAGAGGUAUCGACCCAGUGAUGUAAAAUAUUGAAAACAACACGUUAUUAAUUUCUUGCGUCCGAA